Molecule: long non-coding RNA, 3061 nt
Organism: Papaver somniferum (opium poppy)
Lineage: Eukaryota; Viridiplantae; Streptophyta; Magnoliopsida; Ranunculales; Papaveraceae
Exons: 5
Source: RefSeq, a predicted model, not a curated record
UUGCUCUAAGGAUUAACACCCUGCUAUAGUGUUUAUCAAAUGAGAAUUCUGAACAAAUCUCCGAAGGAAGACCACCAUUAAUGGACAACCUUCUCCUUCAUCAUCAUCAGUAUCUCCUAGGUAUUUCCUCUUCACAUUACAGAAUCUAAUAUUUCCAAGUUUCUAAUCUCCCAACCUAAAUUCUUUAUAGGAGAUGCUGAUAAAUUUAAAAAGAUUGCGGAAAGGGUUUCGAUCCUUUACUUACAACGUUUAUUAUAGCUAUAAAGGUAUUGAAACAAACGAGUGAAUCUACUUAAAAAACUGAAGUUUAUGCUUACAAGAAAUGGGGUUUUGUCUAAAGAUCAAAUUCAAUUAGCAUUUAGGAAAAAUCUCCAUUGUAUGAUGCUUUCUGAGAAGAAAAUAAGUCAUCGAGUAUUGAUGAAAACCCAGGGAUUUUUAAUUGUAUCUUGAAGGAGAUGAGACUAGGAUAAUCCCUCAUUCCCUUGGUGCUCUAUCAUCAGAAUUUUAGACCCAAAGGGUCUGAUUAAGGAAAAAAUUCCUUUGACAUUCAGUAAGGACAGAUGAGUCAUUUUCGGAGAACUUUGUGAAGCCGUAUAACCAAGAAGCUUCUCAAUUAAUGAAUGUAUUCCAAGGUCAGUUGAAUCUGGAAGAGCUGCUUCUGAAAUGAGGAUUUGAUGAGAUGCAAAUGUGGCGCAUGAAGAAUAUAUAGCAUGGGGGUAGAUGUGUAUGCUUCAUAUUCAGUUUGUCACAAAUUUUAGCUGGACCCUUAGUAACUAAGCUUCCCAAGAGCGUUAAAUUGGUUUUAUUAGAUAAAAUUGUAUUUACUUAUGGAAAUUGGCGACAAAGAUAUUUGUUUUGCUGAUUUCCAUACGCCAGUGGGCAAGUAAUGCCUCUGAGAGAGUUCAUAUGAUUUAUGAAGUUCAAUGUAUAGGUGAAACAUAAGUUGCUUGUAGGUUAGUUUUGUUGUCUAGCUCAUGAGAAUAUAGCCGCUGAAAACUUCAGAUUGUAAGCAUAUCGAGUUGAUAUGCAACCCAUUCACUACUUUAUAGUUUCAUUGAUGAGAUAAGGAAUGAGUCACUCAUGUAAAAUCAUUGUCCACUACUAUAUAGUUUCGUUGAAGAGAUACGAAAUGAGUCACACAGGGCUGGCUUAUGAAGAUGAACUUUUUCCUGUUCAUGGGACUUAAACUGUACUAGUCAAUCAAAUGGCAGAACAUCAAGUGAAAUUUUAGAACUACGGGUAUGUACAUCCUCUCACUUGACAACCUGUAGCGGAUAGGUAACGUUCUAGUUGGGUAAAAUAUAGAGAGAUAGAGCUCAUGGUACUGUUGUUAAGCCUGCUUGAAUUUCUCUUCACACUUAGUGAACUCACCGAUGCAUGUCUGCGCGACUGCGUCAACAUCUGAAACAUGAGACAGCUAUUUUCUCAUGUAGGUAGUAGAAUUAGGUGUCCAUAUUAAGAUAGAUAGAGCAUAAAUAUCAAUGAGAACAUUUGGGGCACAAUCGCACAUAAAAAUAAAAUUAAGGUUCUUCGUUCUGUUUCCCCACUUUCUUCUAUUUCUUGUUCCCAUGUCAGAAGCUGAAAAUGUUUCGAUCCUCACAAUCUCAAAAGGACCACCACCGCCGUAAAUGAGCAACGUUCUCCAUCAGCAGCUGCAAGUCGGAAUAUUCUCCUUACAGUUCAAAAUCUGAAUGUUCUCAUUGAAGCUAAUUCAUGUGGAUUAUCUGAAAACGAAGCUAUUAAUGUCUCUCAAAAAGUCGAUUUCAAAACCCCACAUCCCAACCCAGAUGCAGUUUUGACAUUAUUUGAAACCUAUGGAUUCACUAAACCCCCUCAUUUCGAAACUCAUCACUAAGCAUCCAUCAUAUCUGUUAUCUGAAAAACUGAUGGGGUUGGUCGGAAGAUUUAAUCCAAACAGCAUUUAGGAAAGGUCCUCUUUUUUAUGAAGGCUUCUGAGAAGAAGAUUACUGCAAUUAUAAAUUAUCUGAUGAAUGAAAUGCGUUAUGAUUGAUUUAGUAUCACAGAAGACUCAGUGAUUUUCGCUUAUAUCUUGAAGGAGAGGAUUAUCCCUAGCGGCACUGUUAUCAGAAUUUUAGUCUCGAAGGAUCUGAUCGAGAAAAAUAUUUUUCUGGUAAGACAAGUCAUUUUCAGAAAAGUUUGUGAAGCCGUAUGAGCAAGAAGCUCCUGCAUUGAUGAAGGUCUUCCAAGGUCAGUUGGAUUAGGAACAGAUACUUUUGAAAUGGAUUUGGUGAGAUGAAUAUGACCAUAUAGAAGUUGAUCACUGAUUUUAGCAGACAAAUUCUAUUGUUUGUGCCGUCAAAUGGAGUGGUUAGUCUUCUGCAAUCUGAAGAGAAUUUUCGAUUCACACAUCAACCGGAGGGAACUGUGGUUAGUCUUCUGAAAUGAGGAUUUGAUGAGAUGUAAAUGUGGUGGGCUGGCUUUUGAAAAUGGAAUUCUCUUCUUCAUUUUUUGUAUCUGUUCAUGGGACCUAAGCUGUAUCAGACAAUCAAAUGGCAGAAGAUUAAGUGAAAUUUUAGAAGCACGGUCAUGUACAUUCUCCCACUUGACAACCUGUAGCGGAUAGGUAACGUUCUGGUUGAGUAAAAUAUAGAAAUAGAGCUCAUGGUACUGUUCAUAAGUAUGCUUGAAUUUCUCUUCACACUCAGUGAACUCGCCGAUGCAUGGCUGCCAUGACUGCGCCAAUAUCUGAAACAUGAGACAGCAAUCUGCUCAUGGAGGUAAUGGAUUUAGGGGUCCAUAUUAAGCUAAAUGUUCCAUAUUGUGUUUUGAGUUACUUUCAGAAGCUUUGGUGCUGAGCAUCGCUGAGUUAGUGAGAGCAUAAAUAUCAAAGAAACAUUUUGGGCACAAUCGCACUAAAAAAUGAAAUUAAGGCUCUUGUAUCUGUUAACAUUCUUCUAUUUCUUUUUCCUAUUGGAGAAGCUAAAAAUAUUUUGUUCCUCGCAAUCUACGGAGGACCACCACCACCAAGUCGGUAUAUUCUCUUUGUAUUUCAAAAUCUGUAUGUUCUCAUUGAAGCUAGGGGUUAAUUCCAUGAUCUGUU